This 21-nucleotide microRNA is filed under the name Gossypium hirsutum (cotton). RNAcentral's name for it is "microRNA miR172". Lineage: Eukaryota; Viridiplantae; Streptophyta; Magnoliopsida; Malvales; Malvaceae. The record is from RNAcentral. RNAcentral also lists the same sequence under 12 other names.
AGAAUCUUGAUGAUGCUGCAG